UACGUAGGUGGCAAGCGUUGUCCGGAUUUAUUGGGUUUAAAGGGUGCGUAGGCGGCCCCGUAAGUCAGUGCUGAAAUAUCCCGGCUUAACCGGGAGGGUGGCAUUGAUACUGCAGGGCUUGAGUAAAGUUGAGGUAGGCGGAAUUGACGGUGUAGCGGUGAAAUGCUUAGAUAUCGUCAAGAACACCGAUAGUGUAGACAGCUUACUAAACUUUAACUGACGCUGAGGCACGAAAGUGUGGGGAGCAAACAGG
Molecule: ribosomal RNA, 253 nt
Filed under: uncultured bacterium
Lineage: Bacteria
Description: partial 16S ribosomal RNA
Rfam family: Bacterial small subunit ribosomal RNA
Source: RNAcentral